Peromyscus leucopus (white-footed mouse) is the source of this 414-nucleotide long non-coding RNA. RefSeq lists it as uncharacterized. Lineage: Eukaryota; Metazoa; Chordata; Mammalia; Rodentia; Cricetidae. The transcript is spliced from 3 exons. The record is from RefSeq and is a predicted model, not a curated record.
UUAUAUUGCAUACAAACUGUAUGGCCGUGGCAGGCUUCUUGCUAACUGUUCUUAUAGCUUAAAUUAAUCCAAGUCCUGCUUCUUCUCAGUGUCUGUCCCUCUCUGGUGGCCCUGGUGUGUUUAGACCUUCAACAUGACUCUGCUGAUGGGUCCCAGUGGGAUCCAUGCAUUCUAGGGGCAGAGCAUGAGUCAGCCUUUCAAACAGCCCAGUGCAUCCUGUUUGUAAGGGAAAGGAACAGCAGUCACAUACUCUAGGAAAGCUCCUGACUCUAUCUCCUGAACUACUCAACUCACUUGUGGAUAGACAGCUUUACCGUUUGAGCUGUCAUCUGAUCAAGGGGUCUGCCUGGGGAAGAAUUUCACGCACGAGAAGCCUCGGAGAUGACCCAGGUUCAGUUCCCAGCACCACAUGAU